GUCCGGGGUCGGGGAUAAGAGGGAAUCGGGUGCGAAUCCCGGACAGUUCCCGCUGCUGUGAGCGCCCCAUGCCGCAGGCUCCCCACGCCACUGUCCUCCGUCGGAGGGCGGGAAGGCCGCCUGCGGGUCGGCGCGAGUCAGAAGACCUGCCUUUGCGGA
RNAcentral lists this non-coding RNA (159 nucleotides) under uncultured Alistipes sp. Lineage: Bacteria; Pseudomonadati; Bacteroidota; Bacteroidia; Bacteroidales; Rikenellaceae. The record is from RNAcentral.